This 1093-nucleotide long non-coding RNA is filed under the name Helianthus annuus (common sunflower). Lineage: Eukaryota; Viridiplantae; Streptophyta; Magnoliopsida; Asterales; Asteraceae. The record is from RNAcentral.
AUGACCCUUCGAUCCAUCGGUCCAGUGGGCUGUGUAUAAAACCCCUCACAACUCUCUCUCUCUACGCAUCUAGUCUCCAUUGUAUACUCUCUUUUGUUUUCUGCUCUGAAGAAGAAAGAAGAGAUAAAUUAUUUAGAAAAGCUCCAUGCACUUGAAGGAGAUUGAGGUUUAUUGGGACUUGAUAUCUUGCUUUUUGAAGUAUGUUGUCAGACCAGAACCAUUGGUCUUACUUUUGCUAAUUGAGAUGCAAUGUCAUUUUAUUUGCUUUGAAGAGAUUAGAUCCAGAAAGCUUAUGCUAGCAAGUGGAUUAGACUACUUUCAUAUACGCUGGAGAUGUUGCAUAUGACUUGCUCAAAGAGUACCCUACUUGCAGAUGUUGCAUAUGACUUGCUCAAAGAGUACUCUGAACUGGCUAGAACAAAGUAUAUCAGAGCUCCAUUAUGGUGUAUUGCGAAAAAGUGGGAUACAUAUCCCAGUGCCCAACGAUACAACUUCUACCAAAGAUUUGUUUAUUUUCAUGUGCCUAUAGAUAAUAAAGGGGUAGACCAGACAAAUAAGAUUAAUGAUAUUGAAAACCAAGAGAUAUGUAUGUCCAAUCUUAUCACCCAAUGCACCAAGAGCUAUGUCUACCCAGGAUUUAUGUCAAAUUUUGGAAAGUUGUACUGCUACAUGUGCCCUAUAUCAAGCACCUCCAGGAAGACAAAGAGAAACACAAUAUAGCAAGAGAAACACAAUAUAGCUCUCAUGAUACUGAAGUUAUAUACGAGGAAGUUGAGAUAGAUUGAAGGUGCGCUCAUGGCAUUUUGUGAUCCGAUCAAGUCUAAAGUUGGCAUUUUGUGAUCCGAUCCACUCCAACUUUACAUAUUUUGGUUGACUAUGUUUUCUGUCAUCGUCUUUUGGUUGACUAUGUUAAAUAGUUGUUGGUUGACUUUGUUAAGUACAUUUAUCUCUCUUUGUGGAGGUUGACUUGUGUAAAAUACUACUUGUUUGUUGACUUUGAUUUUUUCCUUUCCAUUCCGGUGUUGUUUUACAUUUAUAAACUCAAAUGGUUGAUGAUGUUCUAGUGUUUUAGAUCACCCAGGUCAUGAGUAGG